CCCUCUGCGCCGUUUCUCACUACCACCCUCCUCCCCCGGCACCGCCGCUGGCGUGCUCGGGCUAAACCCCCUUCAUUCCGCCUGCGAUGGAGAAAUGUUCCCGGGACCAGAAGGAAUGAUAGGACUGGGGUUGGUCUCUAUGACAACUGGAAGGAAGAGGAACCAAGAUCAACUGUAACUACUCUUCCAAGUCUCAGUGCCCAGCAGUGCCUAUCUUUCUGCCUCCUCCCCACCCCACCAACCCCUACCACCACCACUACAAAAAGUACAUAUAUGAGCCUCCUGACCUGAGGAAGCUUCUAUCCACGUCUGUGAGCUCCCAUAGAUCAUCCUGAGGAAUCAAAGAAUCAUCAUCAUCUGAGGCUGUUAAGAUGAAUUUCAAAACCACACCUGAAAUAUGUUUUAUUAUCGUUUACAGGGUGCCUUUACAUCUCAUUUAUUCCUCCCAGCAACAUUUGGACGAUGAGGCAGUUUACCCAGAGGUACAGUUUUUAAAAAUGACAGAACCUAGACGGACUUCUGAGAAGUUAGCUACUCUGCCUUACGAUAAUCAAAAGAAGGCAUGGAUUCAGUGAAAGUCCAAUACAUUCCUGGAAGGCUUUUGCUCCUCUUAAAUACAUAUGUGUGUCUUCACUC
Myotis davidii is the source of this 636-nucleotide long non-coding RNA. RefSeq lists it as uncharacterized. The record is from RefSeq and is a predicted model, not a curated record. The transcript has 2 exons. Lineage: Eukaryota; Metazoa; Chordata; Mammalia; Chiroptera; Vespertilionidae.